UGGGGAAUAUUGCACAAUGGAGGGAACUCUGAUGCAGCGACGCCGCGUGAACGAAGAAGGCUUUCGAGUCGUAAAGUUCUUUUAUAUGGGAAGAUAAUGACGGUACCAUAAGAAAAAGCCCCGGCUAACUACGUGCCAGCAGCCGCGGUAAUACGUAGGGGGCUAGCGUUGUCCGGAAUCACUGGGCGUAAAGGGUUCGCAGGCGGAAAUACAAGUCAGGUGUAAAAGGCAGUAGCUUAACUACUGUAAGCAUUUGAAACUGCAUAUCUUGAGAAGAGUAGAGGUAAGUGGAAUUUUUAGUGUAGCGGUGAAAUGCGUAGAUAUUAAAAAGAAUACCGGUGGCGAAGGCGACUUACUGGGCUCAUUCUGACGCUGAGGAACGAAAGCGUGGGUAGCAAACAGG
Molecule: ribosomal RNA, 403 nt
Filed under: bacterium
Lineage: Bacteria
Also listed under: 1 other name
Description: partial 16S ribosomal RNA
Rfam family: Bacterial small subunit ribosomal RNA
Source: RNAcentral